This 528-nucleotide ribosomal RNA is filed under the name Histoplasma capsulatum. RNAcentral describes it as "eukaryotic LSU rRNA". It matches the Rfam family "Eukaryotic large subunit ribosomal RNA", at positions 111 to 650 of the family's 3401-position model. Lineage: Eukaryota; Fungi; Ascomycota; Eurotiomycetes; Onygenales; Ajellomycetaceae. The record is from RNAcentral.
AAAUUUGAAAUCCGGCCCCCCCUGGGGGCCUGAGUUGUAAUUUGCAGAGGAUGCUUCGGGCGCGACCGCGGUCCAAGUCCCCUGGAACGGGGCGUCGUAGAGGGUGAGAAUCCCGUCUCCGGCCGGCCGGUCUCGCCCGUGUGAAGCUCCUUCGACGAGUCGAGUUGUUUGGGAAUGCAGCUCCAAAUGGGUGGUAAAUUUCAUCUAAAGCUAAAUACUGGUCGGAGACCGAUAGCGCACAAGUAGAGUGAUCGAAAGAUGAAAAGCACUUUGAAAAGAGAGUUAAACAGCAUGUGAAUUUGUUGAAAGGGAAGCGCUUGCGACCAGAGUCGGCCGCGGGGGCUCAGCGGGCAUUCGUUGCCCGUGCAAUCCCCCGCGGCCGGGCCAGCGUCGGUUUCGACGGCCGGUCAAAGGCCCCCGGAAUGUGUCGCCUCUCGGGGCGUCUUAUAGCCGGGGGUGCAAUGCGGCCAGUCGGGACCGAGGACCGCGCUCCGGCACGGACGCUGGCUUAAUGGUCGUCAGCGACCC